AUUGAACGCUGGCGGCAGGCUUAACACAUGCAAGUCGAACGGUAACAGAACUAGCUUGCUAGUUGCUGACGAGUGGCGGACGGGUGAGUAACGCGUAGGAAUCUACCGAGUAGUGGGGGACAACAGUUGGAAACGACUGCUAAUACCGUAUACGCCCUCCGGGGGAAAGGUCAGCCGCUAAAAGAGGGGCCCACGUCUGAUUAGCUUGUUGGUAAGGUAAUGGCUUACCAAGGCGACGAUCAGUAGCUGGUCUGAGAGGAUGAUCAGCCACACUGGGACUGAGACACGGCCCAG
Molecule: ribosomal RNA, 294 nt
Filed under: uncultured bacterium
Lineage: Bacteria
Description: partial 16S ribosomal RNA
Rfam family: Bacterial small subunit ribosomal RNA
Source: RNAcentral